AGAGAGAGAGAGAAAACUCACUCCCAUACUCCACAAAUUCUUCAAUGAGAUUGAAAGGGAAAGAUCACGACCAAACUGUUCUAAGAAGCCAGCAUAACCCUCAUCCCAAAACCAGAUAGGGACUCAAUAAAAAGAG
Molecule: long non-coding RNA, 136 nt
Organism: Perognathus longimembris pacificus (Pacific pocket mouse)
Lineage: Eukaryota; Metazoa; Chordata; Mammalia; Rodentia; Heteromyidae
Exons: 3
Source: RefSeq, a predicted model, not a curated record